UACGGAGGAUGCGAGCGUUAUCCGGAUUUAUUGGGUUUAAAGGGUGCGUAGGCGGUCCGUUAAGUCAGCGGUAAAAUUGCGGGGCUCAACCCCGUCUAGCCGUUGAAACUGGCAGACUUGAGUUGGCGAGAAGUACGCGGAAUGCGCGGUGUAGCGGUGAAAUGCAUAGAUAUCGCGCAGAACUCCGAUUGCGAAGGCAGCGUACCGGCGCCCAACUGACGCUGAAGCACGAAGGCGUGGGUAUCGAACAGG
Molecule: ribosomal RNA, 252 nt
Filed under: uncultured bacterium
Lineage: Bacteria
Description: partial 16S ribosomal RNA
Rfam family: Bacterial small subunit ribosomal RNA
Source: RNAcentral